CCUGCCAGGACCACUGUGGGCUUAGGCCCGUCAUGGGCUGGUCUGCCAGGACCGACAUGCCCGAAAUCGCAAGGCCCGCUAAGAUCGGCCCACCAGGUCCGGCAAAGAUACACCCCUAAUUUCAAGUAGUGGUGAAAAAGAGUGUGAAUGAAAGGAAUUGGGGGAUCCAGCUUCUUUUGCAGUCUUGAUUUAUUUUUAAUUGUCAAAUCUGUAAAUAAAAAGUACCCUAACUAACAUUCACAGCCCAUUCCAAACUCAGACCAGAGACGAAUUCAACCCAAAUUACAACUAAUGUGUUUUGUCUCCUCUCUCCUUAGUCGACAGCAAGUCGCCGUUGCAGCUGUCGCCAUUUCUGUUGCCACCAUUACCAUCCUUGUACCUCUCUCCUUAGUCGACAGCAAGUCGCUGUUGCAGCUGUCGCCGUUUCUGUUGCCACCAUUACCAUCCUUGUAUAGAGGUAUUUAACUCUCCUCUUAGCUCUUAUAUGUUAUUGAAUUAUUACUAAUUUAUUUGAAUCUGAAUUACUACUAAGUUAUUUGAAUCAGC
This 546-nucleotide long non-coding RNA is filed under the name Nicotiana benthamiana. RNAcentral's name for it is "long non-coding RNA (NBEN_LNC039378)". Lineage: Eukaryota; Viridiplantae; Streptophyta; Magnoliopsida; Solanales; Solanaceae. The record is from RNAcentral.